This 254-nucleotide ribosomal RNA is filed under the name uncultured bacterium. Its description in RNAcentral is "partial 16S ribosomal RNA". It matches the Rfam family "Bacterial small subunit ribosomal RNA", at positions 524 to 776 of the family's 1533-position model. The record is from RNAcentral.
UACGGGGGGGGGCAAGCGUUGUUCGGAAUUACUGGGCGUAAAGGGCUCGUAGGCGGCCAACUAAGUCAGACGUGAAAUCCCUCGGCUUAACCGGGGAACUGCAUCUGAUACUGGAUGGCUUGAGUUCGGGAGAGGGAUGCGGAAUUCCAGGUGUAGCGGUGAAAUGCGUAGAUAUCUGGAGGAACACCGGUGGCGAAGGCGGCAUCCUGGACCGACACUGACGCUGAGGAGCGAAAGCCAUGGGAGCAAACGGG